GGUUGGAUCGUAUAGUGGUUAGUACCCAAGAUUCUGAUUCUUGUAGCCUGGGUUCGAUUCCCAGUCCGACCU
Molecule: transfer RNA, 72 nt
Rfam family: tRNA
About the family: Transfer RNA (tRNA) molecules are approximately 80 nucleotides in length. Their secondary structure includes four short double-helical elements and three loops (D, anti-codon, and T loops). Further hydrogen bonds mediate the characteristic L-shaped molecular structure. tRNAs have two regions of fundamental functional importance: the anti-codon, which is responsible for specific mRNA codon recognition, and the 3' end, to which the tRNAs corresponding amino acid is attached (by aminoacyl-tRNA synthetases). tRNAs cope with the degeneracy of the genetic code in two manners: having more than one tRNA (with a specific anti-codon) for a particular amino acid; and 'wobble' base-pairing, i.e. permitting non-standard base-pairing at the 3rd anti-codon position.
Source: Rfam